This 885-nucleotide ribosomal RNA is filed under the name Haplaxius crudus. Its description in RNAcentral is "eukaryotic LSU rRNA". It matches the Rfam family "Eukaryotic large subunit ribosomal RNA", at positions 1285 to 1901 of the family's 3401-position model. Lineage: Eukaryota; Metazoa; Arthropoda; Insecta; Hemiptera; Cixiidae. The record is from RNAcentral.
ACAACUCACCUGCCGAAGCAACUAGCCCNGAAAAUGGAUGGCGCUCUAGCGUCGUGCCUAUACCGGGCCGUCAACGGCAAAGUUGGUUUUUCGGAGCCGUUAAGCCUUGACGAGUAGGAGGGUCGCGGCGGUGUGCGCAGAAGGGUCAGGGCGUGAGCCCGCCUGGAGCCGCCGUCGGCGCAGAUCUUGGUGGUAGUAGCAAAUACUCUAGCGAGGGCCUGGAGGACUGACGUGGAGAAGGGUUUCUUGUGAACAGCCGUUGCACAAGAGUCAGUCGACCCUAAGCCCUAGGAGAAAUCCGAUGUUGAUGGGUGGCUAAACAAGAAUCCAUGUUCUGAUUGUUACUUUCCGAUCGUCCAAAUUCAGUCCAAAACGUCGGGCCGUUUUCCUUGUGUGCAAGCACGGGACGGCCGUUCGGUGGCGGACUUGCUUUUUGACGGUCGGGCUCAUCCUGCCCCACGUCCAAACCGUCUCCUGAAGGGGAGCCGGUUCGGACGGCGAGCGGCUGGUUUGACGCAACUACGUGACAACAGCUCCUGUCGGGCAAAAGGGAAUCCGGUUCCUAUUCCGGAACCCGGCUGCGGAACCGUCAUUCAGCGGGCACUCGCCUGCGAGCGCUCGUCGGGGUAACCCAACCUGGCCCGGAGACGCUGGCGGGGGGUCUGGAAAGAGUUUUCUUUUCUUUAUAAGCGUUCGAGUACCCUGGAAUCCUAUAGCAGGGAGAUAGGGUUUGGAACGCGAAGAGCACCGCAGUUGCGGCGGUGUCCGGACCUUCCCCCCGGACCUUGAAAAUCCGGGUGAGGGCUACGUGGAAGUCGCGCCGGAUCGUACCCAUAUCCGCAGCAGGUCUCCAAGGUUAAGAGCCUCUAGUCGAUAGAAUAAUGU